RNAcentral lists this long non-coding RNA (818 nucleotides) under Monodelphis domestica (gray short-tailed opossum). RNAcentral's name for it is "lncRNA (ENSMODG00000048215.1)". Lineage: Eukaryota; Metazoa; Chordata; Mammalia; Didelphimorphia; Didelphidae. The record is from RNAcentral.
CUGCAAGAUGUCCAGGCUGGACAGAGGUGAAGAAUGAUUCAGAGCUCACAACACAGUGGAUUAGGAGAUGAGGAUGAUAACUUCAAAAACGAAUGAGGCAAGGAUCCAGGACAGCUCUCAGGGAGUUGUGAUGAGAAAGGCGAUACACAACCACAGAAGAAGCAGACAGGAUCCGAAAGCAGAUUGAAACAUACUAUUCUUUACUUUAUUUCCUCCAUGAAUUUUUCUCUAGUGUUCCUGCACUGCUGGCUUAACUGGAGACUCAGGAAGGGGACUGCCAGAGAAUGGAGGCCACUUGUACCGGUGGAGGAGGUGUGUGUGCGUGUUCUCUCCCAUGCUUAGAACACAGGAAGGAUCUACCCUUCUACAAUCAUGGGCCCAUGAAGCAUCAUCCACAGACAACAAAUUGUACCUGGGAGUCCACAGAGAAGAGGAGGACGUCUCCUCCAACAAGGCUGCAGGUCUCUAAGAGAGAGGGGUCUACAGGUCUACUUUUUAAUGGUCACAACACAAGAUCAAGAUCAAACUUGGAUUUACAUGCUUGCUAACCAUCCCUUCUUAAUUCACACAAUGUGCUGCUAUCCUGGCUUAGAGAAGUGAGGGCAGAUGGGUGAAGACAGUAAUCCCGCUUAAUGUUGAUUGAGCUAGCAGUACUGGAGAUAAACUUUAAAGUGGCUAAUAAGAAACUCUCACAAAAGUUGUUUGCAAAUAUCUCAAGGUUCUUGACUGAUGGUAAUCAUUUCAUAAUUUGCUAAUUCUUAGCAUUCCUCUUCCUGUGUGGGAAUAAAACCACUUGAUACAUGGUAGUACUUUGGGAA